Molecule: ribosomal RNA, 249 nt
Filed under: uncultured prokaryote
Description: partial 16S ribosomal RNA
Rfam family: Bacterial small subunit ribosomal RNA
Source: RNAcentral
UACGGAGGAUGCAAGCGUUAUCCGGAUUCAUUGGGUUUAAAGGGUGCGCAGGCGGAGAUAUAAGUCAGUGGUGAAAAACUGCCGCUCAACGGUAGUCUUGCCAUUGAUACUGUUUCUCUUGAGUAUGGAUGAGGUAGGCGGAAUGUGCAGUGUAGCGGUGAAAUGCAUAGAUAUUGCACGGAACACCAAUUGCGAAGGCAGCUUACUGGGCCAUUACUGACGCUCAGGCACGAAAGCGUGGGGAUCAAA